This 468-nucleotide ribosomal RNA is filed under the name uncultured bacterium. RNAcentral's name for it is "partial 16S ribosomal RNA". It matches the Rfam family "Bacterial small subunit ribosomal RNA", at positions 28 to 507 of the family's 1533-position model. The record is from RNAcentral.
GAUGAACGCUGGCGGCGUGCUUAACACAUGCAAGUCGAACGGAAAGGCCCUGCUUUUGUGGGGUGCUCGAGUGGCGAACGGGUGAGUAACACGUGAGUAACCUGCCCUUGACUUUGGGAUAUCUUCAGGAAACUGGGGCUAAUACCGGAUAGGAGCUCCUGCUGCAUGGUGGGGGUUGGAAAGUUUCGGCGGUUGGGGAUGGACUCGCGGCUUAUCAGCUUGUUGGUGGGGUAGUGGCUUACCAAGGCUUUGACGGGUAGCCGGCCUGAGAGGGUGACCGGCCACAUUGGGACUGAGAUACGGCCCAGACUCCUACGGGAGGCAGCAGUGGGGAAUAUUGCACAAUGGGCGGAAGCCUGAUGCAGCAACGCCGCGUGCGGGAUGACGGCCUUCGGGUUGUAAACCGCUUUCGCCUGUGACGAAGCGUGAGUGACGGUAAUGGGUAAAGAAGCACCGGCUAACUACGUG